UUACCCAAACAAACAAGUUUGCACUAGUGUCUCAGCCUCAUCUCCUGCAACUAUCUCAUCUCAUCUCACGGACGUGUCCCAUCUCUUGCUUGAAGAAAUGUCUUUCAGUCAGAAAUGUUCCAUCCCAGACGUGCAGUCCGCAGUCAAUGAAGGAGCAAAACAGGCGGAGGGUGCUACUACUGAGUUUGCACAGAAAGCCCAGGAUACCGUGAAUGCAGUUGUGGACAAAGGCGUCUCGUUGGCGGAGCAGAAAGGAAAGCAAGUAGCUCAAGAUGUUGGCUCAAAACUAUCCAGUGCCAAGUUACCCUUUUAGCAAUGCUCAACAGCAUCAAGUGAUUGACAACCUUUGCUAUGUUUUACUGUCUCUUUAAUUUACAAAGGAAUUGCUGUAAUCAAUAAUUCAUAACCAAUUAAUCAAUAAAACGACCCCUCCCCCCA
Molecule: long non-coding RNA, 438 nt
Organism: Callorhinchus milii (elephant shark)
Lineage: Eukaryota; Metazoa; Chordata; Chondrichthyes; Chimaeriformes; Callorhinchidae
Exons: 3
Source: RefSeq, a predicted model, not a curated record